UCGCUGUGAUGAUGCUUUUCCUGCCAUUCGUAGUUUCCACCAGAGGUCUAAUGACCAAAGAUGGUCCAAACCUUCCUUGGAUGUCUGAGCGA
Small nucleolar RNA from Amphiprion ocellaris (clown anemonefish), 92 nucleotides. Its record names the gene SNORD14. It matches the Rfam family "Small nucleolar RNA SNORD14". From Rfam's summary of the family: U14 small nucleolar RNA (U14 snoRNA) is required for early cleavages of eukaryotic precursor rRNAs. In yeasts, this molecule possess a stem-loop region (known as the Y-domain) which is essential for function. The record is from Ensembl. Lineage: Eukaryota; Metazoa; Chordata; Actinopteri; Pomacentridae.